This 403-nucleotide ribosomal RNA is filed under the name uncultured bacterium. Its description in RNAcentral is "bacterial SSU rRNA". It matches the Rfam family "Bacterial small subunit ribosomal RNA", at positions 355 to 775 of the family's 1533-position model. The record is from RNAcentral.
UGGGGAAUAUUGGACAAUGGGCGCAAGCCUGAUCCAGCCAUGCCGCGUGGAUGAUGAAGGCCUUAGGGUUGUAAAGUCCUUUCGGCGGGGAAGAUAAUGACGGUACCCGCAGAAGAAGCCCCGGCUAACUUCGUGCCAGCAGCCGCGGUAAUACGAAGGGGGCUAGCGUUGCUCGGAAUCACUGGGCGUAAAGCGCACGUAGGCGGACUCUUAAGUCGGUGGUGAAAUCCUGGAGCUCAACUCCAGAACUGCCUUCGAUACUGGGAGUCUCGAGUCCGGGAGAGGUGAGUGGAACUGCGAGUGUAGAGGUGAAAUUCGUAGAUAUUCGCAAGAACACCAGUGGCGAAGGCGGCUCACUGGCCCGGUACUGACGCUGAGGUGCGAAAGCGUGGGGAGCAAACAG